AUACGGAGGGUCCAAGCGUUAUCCGGAAUCAUUGGGUUUAAAGGGUCCGCAGGCGGUCAAUUAAGUCAGAGGUGAAAGCCCAUCGCUCAACGAUGGAACUGCCUUUGAUACUGGUUGACUUGAGUUAUACGGAAGUAGAUAGAAUAAGUAGUGUAGCGGUGAAAUGCAUAGAUAUUACUUAGGAUACCGAUUGCGAAGGCAGUCUACUACGUAUAUACUGACGCUGAGGGACGAAAGCGUGGGGAGCGAACAGGAUUAGAAACCCCGGUAGUCC
This 274-nucleotide ribosomal RNA is filed under the name uncultured bacterium. RNAcentral describes it as "partial 16S ribosomal RNA". It matches the Rfam family "Bacterial small subunit ribosomal RNA", at positions 523 to 796 of the family's 1533-position model. The record is from RNAcentral.